CCAAUCGAGGCUGCCGCGCCGUCCUCUCCCUUGUCGCGACCUAGUCUCCGCCACCGCCGCCAACCCCACCCACCACCGCCGCCCCCACCCACCGCCGACCUCGUCUUCGCCAUCCCUCUCCCCUCGCCUUCAUCCGGCGUGCGUGCGUGCGUCCAACCGGCCCCAAAAAUGAAGACAUGGAGCUUGCUCCUCCUCGUCCCACCCAAUCGCCGCCGCCGCCGACCUCCUCCCUCUCCCCCAAUCCCAACCCCACCGGCGGCGAGCUCGUCUCUCCGAGGCCCAUCCUCUGCCCUCCACCCCACCGCGGGCGCCCUUAGUCUCUCCUUCAUCUCCCUACGCUCCAGCUCGGGGGGCCGCGGCCGUGCACCCAGAUCGAGAGGGGAGGCCGUGUUGCUCUUGCUGCGGCCGGAUCCAAGGCCAAGCCCGUGGGGUCCUGCUCGGGCUCCUCGCAGGGGCCACGGCGGCGGGAUCCACAACCACGGCGGGUCCGAACCCUAGCCGCCGCAGUGCGUCACCGGCACGACCCCCGCACCUCCGACGGGCAACGGCACCAAGGAUCGCUCUACGUGGGCCUUCAUCAGCGCCAGCUUCACCACCGGGACCUGCAGCCUCCUCCUCCGGCGUUCAUCUGCAUCAGGGCAGCUAAGAGGGCAUGGGCCUCGACCUCCACGGACGGUGGCCAGAUCGAGCGGAGCUUCCCUUCCUCUGCCUGGCGGGGCAAGGACAAGGACAAGCAGCAACAUCAUCGCAUCAUCAAGAUGCGGCAGCUCAAGGGCGAGGUCGACAUCUUCUCCAGGGCCGACGGGUCGGCGCUGUUCGAGAUGGGCAACACCAGGGUCAUCGCUGCCGUCUACGGCCCCUGAGAGAUGCUGUACUUCAUUCGUGUUUCAUCGUGGGCUCCAAGAAGUGAAGAAGCAUUGAGUUCUAGCUCAUUGGAGCUAGUUAUACUCUGAUAGAUAGUUAUAUUUUGAUAUUUAGUUGUGUUCUUGGUGGCUGUAAACCUGAUGUGAAGUAUGUUCGAUUAUGAACGUGGUGUAUGUUUGAUUUUAAGGUGCCAAAUUUGGUUGUUGAAGUAUUACUUCUGUUUUCAGUCA
Molecule: non-coding RNA, 1094 nt
Organism: Triticum urartu
Lineage: Eukaryota; Viridiplantae; Streptophyta; Magnoliopsida; Poales; Poaceae
Source: RefSeq, a predicted model, not a curated record